AGAGGAUUAGUUUAAUAAAAACACUUAACUUCGACUUAAGAAAAUUCAAAAGAAACUAUGAAAUCCUCUU
This 70-nucleotide transfer RNA is filed under the name Nepanthia sp. M04. RNAcentral describes it as "tRNA-Arg". Lineage: Eukaryota; Metazoa; Echinodermata; Asteroidea; Valvatida; Asterinidae. The record is from RNAcentral.